GGGGUCGACUUGGCUUUGACAGCGUGACGAAGGGACAGGUAAGCAUGCCGUGCGUGGAUAUUGCUAGCACGUUAAUCUCAGUGUAUCAUAAAGAUUUUAGUUGGCGAAAAUAAUUACGCUCUCGCUGCCUAACCGAAGUACAGUAAGUUACGGCUUUAUCCGCUUACGAUAGAAGUGGACGAGACGUCACCCGAAACUCUUAUUCCGAAGUGAAUCGAAUUAGGUGGCGCACUAAUAUCGGAGUCUCCCAUGUGAGAUGCUCCCGUAGCAUUAUGGAGUAUUACCGGAGAUAAGCCAUGCCUAUAUAGAGGCUUGAACUAUGUGCAUGGCCGACAAAGUAAAGAUAAGAUAAGCAUGUAGAAAGCUUGCUCAUUCCGCGUUUGGACGAGGGUUCAAUUCCCUCCGGCUCCACC
This 413-nucleotide transfer-messenger RNA is filed under the name Porphyromonas miyakawae. It matches the Rfam family "transfer-messenger RNA". Rfam says of the family: Bacterial tmRNA, also known as 10Sa RNA or SsrA, is named for its dual tRNA and mRNA-like properties. Its role is to liberate the mRNA from a stalled ribosome. RNAcentral also lists the same sequence under 1 other name. The record is from RNAcentral. Lineage: Bacteria; Pseudomonadati; Bacteroidota; Bacteroidia; Bacteroidales; Porphyromonadaceae.